RNAcentral lists this ribosomal RNA (487 nucleotides) under uncultured Saprospiraceae bacterium. Its description in RNAcentral is "bacterial SSU rRNA". It matches the Rfam family "Bacterial small subunit ribosomal RNA", at positions 28 to 505 of the family's 1533-position model. The record is from RNAcentral. Lineage: Bacteria; Pseudomonadati; Bacteroidota; Saprospiria; Saprospirales; Saprospiraceae.
GAUGAACGCUAGCGGGAGGCUUAAUACAUGCAAGUCGAGGGGUAACAUGGGAGACUUCGGUCACCUGAUGACGACCGGCGCACGGGUGCGUAACGCGUACACAACAUACCUUAUACUGGAGAAUAGCCCAUGGAAACGUGGAUUAAUGCUCCAUAGUAUCAAUUAGCUGCAUGGCUUGAUUGAUUAAAGCUCCGGCGGUAUAAGAUUGGUGUGCGUACCAUUAGAUAGUUGGUGAGGUAACGGCUCACCAAGUCAUUGAUGGUUAGGGGGCGUGAGAGCGUGGACCCCCACACGGGUACUGAGACACGGACCCGACUCCUACGGGAGGCAGCAGUAAGGAAUAUUGGACAAUGGAGGCAACUCUGAUCCAGCCAUCCCGCGUGUAGGAUGACGGCCCUCUGGGUUGUAAACUACUUUUAGACAGGAAGAAACGCCUUCAUUUAUGGGGGUCUGACGGUACUGUCAGAAUAAGCACCGGCUAAUUCCG